Molecule: ribosomal RNA, 472 nt
Filed under: uncultured bacterium
Lineage: Bacteria
Description: partial 16S ribosomal RNA
Rfam family: Bacterial small subunit ribosomal RNA
Source: RNAcentral
GACGAACGCUGGCGGCGUGCUUAACACAUGCAAGUCGAACGCUGAAGCUUGGUGCUUGCACUGGGUGGAUGAGUGGCGAACGGGUGAGUAAUACGUGAGUAACCUGCCCUUGACUCUGGGAUAAGCCUGGGAAACUGGGUCUAAUACUGGAUAUGACAUGCCACUGCAUGGUGGUGUGUGGAAAGGGUUUUACUGGUUUUGGAUGGGCUCACGGCCUAUCAGCUUGUUGGUGGGGUAAUGGCCUACCAAGGCGACGACGGGUAGCCGGCCUGAGAGGGUGACCGGCCACACUGGGACUGAGACACGGCCCAGACCCCUACGGGAGGCAGCAGUGGGGAAUAUUGCACAAUGGGCGGAAGCCUGAUGCAGCGACGCCGCGUGAGGGAUGACGGCCUUCGGGUUGUAAACCUCUUUCAGCACGGAAGAAGCGAGAGUGACGGUACGUGCAGAAGAGGCGCCGGCUAACUACGUG